Molecule: ribosomal RNA, 253 nt
Filed under: uncultured bacterium
Lineage: Bacteria
Description: partial 16S ribosomal RNA
Rfam family: Bacterial small subunit ribosomal RNA
Source: RNAcentral
UACGUAGGGGGCAAGCGUUAUCCGGAUUUACUGGGUGUAAAGGGAGCGUAGGUGGCGUGGCAAGUCAGAAGUGAAAGCCCGGGGCUCAACCCCGGGACUGCUUUUGAAACUGUCAUGCUGGAGUGCAGGAGAGGCAAGUGGAAUUCCUAGUGUAGCGGUGAAAUGCGUAGAUAUUAGGAGGAACACCAGUGGCGAAGGCGGCUUGCUGGACUGUAACUGACACUGAGGCUCGAAAGCUAGGGGAGCAAACGGG